This 253-nucleotide ribosomal RNA is filed under the name uncultured bacterium. RNAcentral describes it as "partial 16S ribosomal RNA". It matches the Rfam family "Bacterial small subunit ribosomal RNA", at positions 524 to 776 of the family's 1533-position model. The record is from RNAcentral.
UACGCAGGGGGCUAGCGUUGUUCGGAAUCACUGGGCGUAAAGGGCGCGUAGGCGGCUUUAUAAGUCGGGGGUGAAAGCCUGUGGCUCAACCACAGAAUUGCCUUCGAUACUGUAGAGCUUGAGACCGGAAGAGGUAAGUGGAACUGCGAGUGUAGAGGUGAAAUUCGUAGAUAUUCGCAAGAACACCAGUGGCGAAGGCGGCUUACUGGUCCGGUUCUGACGCUGAGGCGCGAAAGCGUGGGGAGCAAACAGG